GAUGAACGCUGGCGGCGUGCCUAAUACAUGCAAGUCGAGCGAAGCGGGGACGGGUGAGUAACACGUGGAUAACCUCCUAUAAGACUGGGAUAACUUCUGGAAACCGGAGCUAAACCGGAUACUUAUAAUUGGAUCCGCGCUGCGUUAGCUAUUUGGUAAGGUAACGGCUUACCAAGGCAACGGUGCAUAGCCGACCUGAGAGUGUGAUCGGCCACACUGGAACUGAGACACGGUCCAGACUCCUACGGGAGGCAGCAGUAGGGAAUCUUCCGCAAGGGCCGAAAGCCUGACGGAGCAACGCGGCGUGAUUGAUGAAGGUCUUCGGAUCGUAAAACUCUGUUAUUAGGGAAGCGGUAACUAAUCAGAAAGCCACGGCUAACUACGUGCCAGCCGCCGCGGUAAUUC
Molecule: ribosomal RNA, 405 nt
Filed under: uncultured bacterium
Lineage: Bacteria
Description: partial 16S ribosomal RNA
Rfam family: Bacterial small subunit ribosomal RNA
Source: RNAcentral